RNAcentral lists this ribosomal RNA (607 nucleotides) under uncultured bacterium. RNAcentral's name for it is "bacterial SSU rRNA". It matches the Rfam family "Bacterial small subunit ribosomal RNA", at positions 218 to 842 of the family's 1533-position model. The record is from RNAcentral.
GUGUGAGAUGGAUCCGCGUCUGAUUAGCCAGUUGGCGGGGUAACGGCCCACCAAAGCGACGAUCAGUAGCCGGCCUGAGAGGGUGACCGGCCACAUUGGGACUGAGACACGGCCCAAACUCCUACGGGAGGCAGCAGUGGGGAAUAUUGCACAAUGGGCGAAAGCCUGAUGCAGCGACGCCGCGUGAGUGAAGAAGUAUUUCGGUAUGUAAAGCUCUAUCAGCAGGGAAGAAAAUGACGGUACCUGACUAAGAAGCCCCGGCUAACUACGUGCCAGCAGCCGCGGUAAUACGUAGGGGGCAAGCGUUAUCCGGAUUUACUGGGUGUAAAGGGAGCGUAGACGGCGAAGCAAGUCUGAAGUGAAAACCCAGGGCUCAACCCUGGGACUGCUUUGGAAACUGUUUUGCUGGAGUGUCGGAGAGGUAAGUGGAAUUCCUAGUGUAGCGGUGAAAUGCGCAGAUAUUAGGAGGAACACCAGUGGCGAAGGCGGCUUACUGGACGAUAACUGACGUUGAGGCUCGAAAGCGUGGGGAGCAAACAGGAUUAGAUACCCUGGUAGUCCACGCCGUAAACAAAGAAUGCUAGGUGUUGGGGGGCAAAGCCCUUCG